GCGACAUGGAUUCCAAUUUUGGAGGCAAAGGGAGGAGUAGAAGGGAGGGCUUAACUCGACAUCUGAAAGCAUUGGUUGCAUGCUGUGUUCUUCAACCUGACGGUGUUCUGCAGCAAUGCACACCUUCUGAUGACGUUGCUGCGGACACUCGGUUCAAGUAGGAUCACUGUUACCAACGCCGGUCUGUGUCACAGUAAACCCUCUCUCUAUUCCUGUCUUUGCCUUACAAACAUGUACCUGGGACG
This 245-nucleotide microRNA precursor is filed under the name Physcomitrium patens. RNAcentral's name for it is "Physcomitrella patens miR1054 stem-loop (ppt-MIR1054)". Lineage: Eukaryota; Viridiplantae; Streptophyta; Bryopsida; Funariales; Funariaceae. The record is from miRBase by way of RNAcentral.